RNAcentral lists this long non-coding RNA (16241 nucleotides) under Ananas comosus (pineapple). Its description in RNAcentral is "long non-coding RNA (ACOM_LNC035985)". The record is from RNAcentral. Lineage: Eukaryota; Viridiplantae; Streptophyta; Magnoliopsida; Poales; Bromeliaceae.
GAUCUUGUUAUAGAUCAGUAUAAAAAAAUUUGUAUCAAAAUUUCAUCUUAUUUGAUAUUCUACACCGUUAAAACUUGAAAACGGCAGAUAUCAACCAUUAAAAAUUAUGAAUUUGAAUCCUUUCGAUCACUAGGUAAAUGAUAUCAAAAAAUCGCAAAAAAUUAUUUUCAGAACUUCAAUGCGCUAGAUCAAGUCUAACGGAGCCGAUCGUCGAUUCGAAAAUUCCUCAUCGAAAACGGCUCAGGACACGGAGGCCUCCGUGCUCCUGAGCACAGCAGCCUUCGCUUCUCUCUCUCUCUCUCUCUCUCUCGUUCUUCUCUGGCUCUUCUCGCUCUAUAUAUAUAUAUAUAUAUAUAUAUAUAAUUUGUAUAAUUUGAAUUGUCCUUUACGAAAUUAUUAAAUUUUGCAUCAUAAAUUAGUUCCAUAUUUUAUAUUACCCCACCAUUAGAAGCAAAGUUGAAAAGGUUGCACUGCACGGUAUGUGGCCAUGUGGGUAGUGGCAUGCACCUUUUUGACUACAUAACCUGGACCCAACCCUGAUGCAGCACCUAACUAUGUACUGCACCACUUUUAUUACUGUCACUUCAUGGCAAUUUAAUAUGUGGGGGGACCCAAAUGUUCCUCCUAGUCCUGGUCAGAGGAAUAUUACAUUGUUGAUGGGGACUCUCUACUGCACCAUUUAUUUGUGAUAGAGGAAUAUUGCGGUGGCAAUGAUAUCCUCGACAGUACAUGUUUUCUAAUGUUUCAAAAAAUAUUUUAUAUAUAUAUAUAUAUUAGAAAUAAUCACUUAUAUAUUUUUCAGUCAAGAAAAAGGAUUUGCAAGCCAACAAUUCAUAACAAAAUAGAAAAGCAAAAAUACCCACCACUUGCAAAUACUUCUUUUUGCUUCUAACUUAGAACCAAAUAAGAAUUUUUUUUUUUUUUGAGAGAUAGCCAGAUAGGUAGCACGCUACUCGCUUCGUUUGUUUCAUUUAGAAAUAAACUUAAUUGAAAAUGUGAAUCAACUAGGAUUUGAACUUGGGACCUCGGGUAUCAACCACCAAGCCUUUUGCUACUUGCUCUAGGGGCGGUCAGUCCAAAUAAGAAAAGUUGAUUAAGAUAGAAGGAUAUGUUUGAAAGGGCAAAAUAGAAACUUCGAUAGAAACUUCGUAUAGAUAACGGUUGUUCCUGACUCUAGGAGUAUAUUUGAAAGAAAGCGGAAGGUUAAGAAACUAUUUUACUCUUUCUAAUGAACUAUUUAUGGUUUUUAUCAAGCAUAAAAAUAAGAAUACUAACUAAUUCAUGAUAAUUUAGUAUUCCUCCAACCUAGAAAUCUAUAAUGAUUUCAUUACUUCACAAACACGUUUUACAACUAUCCAACGAGUUGAAUGAUAAUAAUUUGAAUAUUUUUAAUAAAAAGUACAAAGGAUUAUUGGAAUAUUGCAAACCGUAAAUUAAACGGGUUGUAGAGUGCGUUUGGUUCGUGCUAUUGUGUUAGGAUUAUUAGAGAAUUUAUAAGAAUAUUUAAAGUUACUGUAUUUGAUUCAUGCCGCAUGUAAUUGUAUUAGUAAUAUAAGAUUGCUUUUUUUCUUUUUUUUUUUUGAAAGAUAGGUAGCACGCUGCCCGCUUCGUUUAUUUCAUUUGGAAAUAAACUUAGCUAGAAAUGUAAAUCAACUAGGAUUCGAACUUAGGUCUCGGAUAUCAACCACCAAGCCCUUUAACACUUGCUCUAGGGACGGUCGGUAGUAAUAUAAGAUUGCUAAUAGCCAUUGGCUUAUGCAUAUAUAUAUCUCAGUGGGGUCCAUUGACCCUAUUGAGAUGAUGGCAAAAACCAUCUUUUGUGGACCCCACUUACGAAAAAAAAACUCUUUAGUUGGGUUUGAUUUGUAUAAAUUAACCUCUCUUUGGAGCCCAAGUUGAUCCCAAGUGGGGUCCAACAAAAUAUUUGUAUUAGACAAAAAUAUUAUAGCAAAUUUGAUAACCUGUUAACUUUUUUUUUCCCCUCUAAUUAUAAAAAAUAGAAAAAAAAAUCUUUUCCUCUAAACAUUGGCGAAUGUAUAUACAUGUCACAUCUUAGUGGAGUCCCUUAACCCCACUGAGAUGAUGUAAAAAACUAUUUUUGUGGGCCCCAUUUGGAAAAAAAAACUCUUUAGUUGAGUUUGAUUUGUAUAAAUUUCUUUGGGGUCCAAGUUGAUGUCAAAUGGGGUCCAACAAAACUUUUGUAUUAGACAAAAGUAUUAUAACGAAUCCGAUAACCCGUUUAUAUUUUUUUUUUUUUUGUUAGCAAUAGCAAAAAAACCUAGCCUCCUUUAUCCUACGUAAUUUUCCUCUUUAUCUCUCCCAAUUAUAUUGAAUCUAAUUAACAUAUUGAUCAAUAUUUUAAAGGCCAAAUCCAAUUCUAUUUAGGUGCCAAUAUAUUUCUUUUCUUCCAUUUUUUUAAUUGAAAUGCAAAAUAUAAGGUAUGUGUAUGGAUCUUUAUUUGCUUUUUUUUAAAUUGUGAAUUUGUUCUUUUUAUAUGAAAUGAAUAGAAGUUAUUUUAUAUUGUCAUUAUGGUAUAUAAAAGUACAAUAACUAAGUACAUUAGAGAUUUUUAUUUACAUGUACUUGAUAAGUAUUGUUAUUUGCGAAUUAUUAAUAUUAUUAUUUAUUUUUUUAUUUUUGUUGGCUAUUGACAUAUGAUGAUUAAUUUAAUGUUGUUUGUAAGAAACUAAUUUAUUUAUCACUAAUUUUUGCUAAUGAAUAUGGAGAAAUUUUUAGAAAGAGAAGCCCCUUCUAGUUGUUUUCAACAAAAGUCAUCUCAAACUCAAAAAAGGGAAAGUGAAAACCUAGCAGGUUUGAUUGCAAUGCGCACCAAUUUUCUUACAAGGGAAGCGAAUUUCAUCUAAAUACCUUUCCUGCUGAUCUUGUAGAUAGGAAAAGAAUAUUAGACUACCAUCCAAAUAUUCGUGAUGAAAUUAGAAGAGCAUACCUACAAAAAGUUGGUUGAGACGAAGAAGUAUAUAGUGUAUUCGCGAGUUUAUUUGCUUUCGAAGUUGGCAUUAAUUCUACCUGUUGCUAUCGCCACAGUGGAAUUAAAGAUCUUUUUCUAUGAUGAAUUUUAUAAAGAAUAAAUUGUGCCAUCAUAUGUGUUAUCAACUAAUGAACGAUUGUUCAGUGACUUAUAUAUAAAAAGAUAUAUUUGACAGUGUUUCCAAUGAGGCUAUUAUGUACCAUUUUCAGAAUAUGAAGACACGUCGAGAACAAUUGUAAAAGAAAUGAUUUUUUUUUUUUAUACAAUACUAAGAACUAGUUUAUUUUUUUAUUACUUUUUGGUUUUUUUUUUUCUUAUAUAUUAACCCCAUACGAGAAAAUCUUUAGAUCCGCCACUGCUAAUAGCAAAUGAUAUGCUCAAAAAAUAUUACAGAAAAGGAGGAUGGAUAUAUUAUAUUACUGGUUAUAGUUUAUCCUAAACUUAUGUAAAGCUACAAAUUAUCUCUCUCCACCACCCAAACCAUUUCUCACCUCUUAUUUCAAUCGUAAAGAGUACGUUCCUUUUGAUAAUUAAGUUCACAACGGAAGUAAGGAUCUACCUUGUGAUAAGAUUGAGCAAUAUACCGCCUAGAGGGGGGGACGAUAAAUGCUUGAGAAUAAAAAACAAUUCUUGGAUAGUAUUUUGAAAGCAUAUUGCGUAGUGCAUCAAUUAUGAUGCAGUUUUAUACUAUUAUGAAGGAAAAUACAAAAAAUAAGCAAGAACAGCAAAAAUUCAACUGCAGUCACAAUGAAACUAUUUAAGACAAUUCUCUUAUUCUCUUAUAGAAACUAUUCAGCUGCAGUCACAAGAAUAGAUGCUUGAGAAUAAAAAUAAUUCUCUUAGACAAUUUUUUGAAAACAUGGUGUGUAGUGCAUCAAUUAUGAUGCAGUUUUAUGCUAUAUAUUAUGCAUGAAAAUACAAGAAAUAAGCAAGAAUAGCAAAAAUUUAGUUGCAAUCACCAAGAAACUAUUUAAGACUCACAAAAACCUUAAUCAAACACCAGCACAAAAACCACAACAGUAAAUAUACAAUUGAAAUGGCGAAUGUGGUACAAGAUAUUACGUGAAACACCCUAAUUCAAGGGAGAAAAACCACCGGACAAUCAAGAACAAUUUCAUUAGGGCAAAAAUAGAGUUACAAAGGUGGUAAAGACUCUAUACCAAUACCACCGUAGUCCAACAAUGACAAAAAGGCAUGCAUCCAUGCUCCACUAACUCUUUUAUGAUAUAUCAAAAUAAAGUCACAUGCAAUCCAUACCCUGCUCAAUUCAGAGCCUCAACUACAUCCGUUAGGGUUUGGUGGUUGGUACUUGAGACCCAAGUUCGAAUCCUAGUUGAUUCACAUUUCUUGCUAAGUUUAUUUCUAAAUGAAAUAAACGAAGCGUAUAGCGUGUUACCUAUCUCUCAAAAAAAAAAAAAAAAACUACAUCCGUUAGGCAUGCCAAAUCUAUGGCCGCUCACCUCCAUGAACCUCUAAGCACCCGAAUUCUAAAGCAGUGUAUGGAGAGAUGCAGUGGGAUGAUUCCUAAUCUCUACUAUGAUGAAGCUUUCUAAUAAACUAGAGAUUUAGGAUGGGUGAUUAGAAAAGAGAACCAAAGAAUUAACAAAAAUCAGGUUAUAGUUUCUCUCUCUAGGGAGCUGCAGUUUUUGGGGAGGAAGAAGAUAGGCUUCUAGAUGAAAAGGCUCCAAAAUAGUUAAGAAAAGUUCCACCUUACCCCAGAAGAAAUGGUCUAUUUAUAUGCUAGAGCCUAAAUAGGUCAAUCCAUAAGUGACCACGUUACCGACCGUCCCUAGAGCAAGUGGCAAAGGACUUGGUGGUUGGUACCCGAGACCCAAGUUCGAAUCCUAAUUGAUUCACAUUUCCAGCUAAGUUUAUUUCUAAAUGAAAUAAACGAAGGGGGUAGCGUGCUACCUAUCUCUCUCACAAAAAAAAAAAAGAAAAAAAAGUGACCACGUUGUCAUGGACUUAGGUAAAAUCCCUUGUCAAGCCCAUACGGUGCUCAUCUUCCUUCGCAAAGUGAGCAAGCCUAUCUGUCCGCUUGCUAGCUCGGACCUAUUCGUCCUAUGACUGAGUGCAAACGAGUGAGAGUUUGGAGGAAUGUAGUAUGCUAUUACUUGAGAAUAGAAAGAGUACACUUGAGCUAUCCUAAAAGGGUGGAGGCCAUAAAUAUCUAUAGGCCAUUUAGCGCCCAAUAAAGCAAAUAGAAAGUCACCAAGUGGCACAAAGUUGCAAGCCAAAACUGGAGGCUAUGAGCUCCCAACAGCUUACAUUUGUUACGUCUUCUAGAAACCCUAAGGGACACAUGACUCUUCGGCUUCUAGCAGAUGCUUUUUAUGACUCUGCCAAAAUCUUUGGUAGCAAUCUUCUUUGGAUUUGGGAUGAUUAGUGGAAAAUUGAAAAUCCCUAACAACAUGCGAGUCAGCUGACUAGCAAGCUACUAUUAAGUUGUUUCAUUCAAGUUGAAACAACUUUCUAGUAAUCAAUUGUCUUUUUAGAAUAGUCCAUGGCAAUGUGUUUGUCGUGUUUGGAUUUGCAGCAAAAGCCAUCAGGCACGUAAACAGUCCUUCCAGAUGCAAAAGGCACACAUCAUACACCCGAAGCGAAUAGCAAUGACCUGUCAACAAUCCUAGAAGUCCACUACUAAAUAGGCAUUAGAGUAUGUAAAAUAAGCAACAAGUAUAACAACAUAUAUAAAUAUCCACUAUCUGAUAACAUCAACAUCAAAUACAUAUAUAUAUAUAUAUCAUCUCCAAUAACCAAAAUAUAAAUACAAACAAACUCAGCACUAUCCUCGUCAAAACAUCACAUCAUGCUGCUAUACAAACAUUAUCUACAGGGGCAUCCUUUAAAUGUCAUAUAUCUAGUAGAUAAUGCUACCUAGCUCGUCAUCUCCUUACCUCAAUCUGUAGUUGCAACUAGUGCUGAAGGCUUUGAAAGAGAAUCAACAAAAAAGAGCGUGAGAACUAUAAUCAAUAGUUCCUAGGGGUAAGAGUAGUAAAUGACGACCUACGCUACUAGGUCUAUCAGAGGCAAGAGUAGUAAAUGAACUGUAAAUUAGCAAGUAACAGAGAAUAAUAUGAACAAAAAAAUAAAGAACUAUCAUACCUCUAUUUGUGUUUGUGGAAAUCAAUGGAUAGUAGUCAUGUCUCUACCGGCUAGCUUAUGUCAAGAAUAGUAAACAAAUAUCAUAUGCGUCAACUAAGGAAUCUCAUAGGCAAAUCAUAAGACCCAAUCACACCGGCUAGCUUAUAGGUCUGGCCAAGCCUGCACCGCCAUAUGCCUGGUAAAUCACACUUACCUAGUCGCCUAGCCCGUAUGCGUACACCUAGCACAUCUAGUUAGCUGCCAUAGCUCCGGAGGGACACUUGUGGGACGUGACCCUACCGAGUAGCACAAUAUAUCUUAUCGUUCGUAACUGAUCUCAAUCCAACUCAAGAUAGGCUAUGGUCAUGUAAGAUGAUAAAACAGAUCAUAACAAUAUUAUCCAAGUGCCCUCAAUCAUAAUCAUAUACCAUAUGUCCCACUAUCUAUUUGUAAUCUUUUUAGCAAUUUAUAGAUUUUUUAUGUAUCACAGUAUAUCAACAAGAAUGAUAUGUAACAGGGGUUAGGACUGUCAACUCACCUAAACAUCACACCAUCUAUAUUAAGUAAUCCUAGAUAUAGAUACAUGGAUAUACAAAAAGUAAACAACUACAAAUAUAGUGAUGCUAAUAGGUAUCAAAGAAUCGUAAUAAGUAAGGAAUAGACAUAAUGAGUAGUUCACGUGUUCGACGAUAUGGAACCCACGUAAAUCAGCAUCUCCGAAGAAAAUCAAGGAGCACCAGUAUUUCACAAAAUUACGGCAAAAUCAACUACUAAGACACAGUUUUAUCAUUCUCAUUAUUGCGAAAAUCACAGCUAUAAAAAUUGCAACCGAAAUACAAUUCAUAUUUUACCUAGUGAAUGGCAUUUAUGAAUUUGUCGCGUCGAUCACGAACUCACAAAAUUAAGGUUCCUUCUUUCUCUUUCUUCCUCUCUCUAUCUCCCUCAUAUUCUCUCUCUCUCUCUCUCUUCAUGCCAAAUAAAAAAAAAAAGCCCUCAACCAAGUUUUAUAAUGUAACAAUUGCAUAUAAGUUCUCAAAAUUGCCAAAUUUUUAUUUUCAACCAAAAUCUACUAUUUCAAUGCCUGAUUCCAUGAUUCAGGCGUCCGAAACCUUCUGUUCAAGCCCUUUCAGACACCCUCUCAUUCACCCUGUCAUUCGGAAUCCAUCUCAAGAGUGCCUGAAUUACUUUCCCGUUGCCCGAUUCUUGCGCCCAAAAGUUACGACUAGCUGCUGUUAUGAACGAGUUAAUCUCUCCCUCGCAAUCGGCUUUCUUAAAAGAGAGAAACAUUACCGACGCAUACGUAGCAGUCUCUGAACUUAUUAGGUGGGGUUGUAAGGAGGCUACUGAGGGAGUCGGCAUAAAAGUGGACUUCGAAAAGGCUUACGAUAAAAUUUACUGGCCCUUUCUCUUCAGUAUUCUCCGAUGGUGGGGAUUUGAGGAGCAGUGGUGUGAAUGGAUCAAACAAUGUGUGUGCAACGCUAAGGUAGCCAUUUUAGUUAAUGGUGAGGCAACUAACUGGAUCAAAACUAAGAGAGGGAUACGACAAGGAGAUCCACUUUCACCAUUCCUGUUCCUGUUGGUGGCGGAGUGUCUUGCUAGAUUGUCCAGCACGGCAAUCUCAAACAACCUUUUCAUAGGGAUUGGCCCUUUACACGAGAGUUUAACGGCACUUACACAGUUCGCGGACGACACGUUUUUUUUCUCCGUGGCUAGAAAGCGAUAUUUGAGAAAUAUCCGACUGAUGUGGAAUCUCUUCGAGUGGGCAUCUGGGUUGAAAAUCAAUAGAGAAAAGUCCGAGCUUUACUACCUAGGACGGAUUGAGGGUAAAGCGGAGAGACUUGCGCAGUUGCUCGAGUGUAAAGUUGGCUCCCUCCCCACCACGUAUCUAGGCCUACCCCUCUCACCAAAACCCCCCACAAAGGAGGCCUGGAGAGGUGUUAUCCAGAAAGUACAGCACAGAAUAGACGGGUGGCAGGCCAAACUUCUCUCGAAAGGGGGUAGACUUAUCCUUGUCAAUGCGGUCCUCACCAAUCUGCCACUGUACUUUCUGACUGUGUUUAAGGCACCCAAAUGGGUCAUCAAGCGGCUCGAAGCACUACGCAGGGAUUUCUUUUGGAGUGGCCAAUGCGACAUCACUGGCAGGGGGUGUCUGGUUGCAUGGAAAAAUGUCUGUUUGAGCAAACGGGCAGGUGGUUUAGGCAUCCUAGAUUUAGCCGACAUGAAUACGGCUCUCCUAGUCAAAUGGUGGUGGAGAUUUCUUACUGCACCUAAUUUGCCGUGGAUCAAGCUUAUCCGAGUUUUGUACUAUCGGAGAAAAAGACCGUUGUGGGAAGGGAGGGGUUUCCGGCCGUCUUCACACUGGUGGAAGGGGGUGCUUGCCACCAAGGAUAUUUUCAAAUGGGGGACCAACUAUAUACUAGGUAAUGGGGCAUUGGUUGAUUUUUGGCUUGACAGAUGGUGUGGGGACACCACACUCCAGGCGUCCUUCCCGGAGCUGUUCACACAGCGGGGUCGAAAACCGAUCCUGGUCCGAGAUUGCUUGGGAGGUAACGAUUGGGAUUGGAGUAGGAUCUUGAGCGAGGAAACUCCUAGUACGCCGAGCCUGCGUCGCACUCUCGCAAAACUCAAAGAGAGAGUCUCUAGCUUUUGUAUUGGGCAGACUGAGGACAGGAUAGGGUGGAGAUGGGAUAAUAAUAAUACUUUCUCAGUACGAUCGGCCUACCGCAUGUUGAACAACAGGGGCACGAGAGACGGGCGGACUAGCUUGGUUUGGAGACUCCGAAUCCCACUCAAGAUCAAAGUGUUUUGUUGGCUUGUUCUUAAGAAAAGAACACUUACGGCGGUCAACCUCAGUCGGACAGGGUGGUCUGGAAGUACGACUUGUGUGCUAUGUACGGUUCAUGACGAGUCAGUGGAUCAUCUAUUCACCCAAUGCGUCUUUACCAGGUAUAUCAUGGUCGCGGGACUCGAAGAAGUUCAGCCCGGGGAUUUGGGUGAUGAUGUACUUGAAGUCUGGGAUAGGUGGAGGCGUAGGGAUGGUGGGCUAAGAAGGAGGAACGGACUACCCGAGUUAGCAGCGUGCUGGUGGACCAUUUGGACAGCUAGGAACGACGCUAUCUUUCGCGGCAUACAGUUCGACCCUGUAAUUGUGGUGCGCAGGCUCAAGUUCCUGAUUGUCUCUUGGAUUGACCUCCCAUAGUAGUCACUUUUUUUCUUUUUUUCUUUUUUUUUCUUUUUUUUUUUUUUUCGUGUUCACGAGGCCCUCGUUGCCUCACUCCUGUAGCCUAAUUCGCUCUUUCAAUGAAUGAAGCAGGUAGCGUGCUACCUAUUCUCAAAAAAAAAAAAACAUUUAUAACCCUGUUCCUGAAAACCUAAAGAAGAAUGCAAAAAAGGAAACGCAACAUAUAUGGUUUGUGCAAUUGUGCGUAGGGAUGCCAAUGUGUAUGGAUGCCCGAAAUUUUAUUCGAAUCCGACCCCGAAUGGAGCGAGUUUAUUCGAUACUAAAUGAAUAUGGUUUCGGAUAUAGAUAUCAAAAAUAAAAAUCCAACGGAUAUGGAUACGGAUAUAGAGUUUGACUGCACCCGACCCGAACCUGAACCUGACCUGAACCCGAAUUUAUUUUACAUUAUAUAUAAUAUGUAUAUAAAAAUUUGAUGUUAUAUUUGAAUUUGUAUUUUAAAAAAUUAGAUUUAAUGUAAUAUAUUUUGAAAUAUUAAAAAGAGAAAUAAUUGUUUCGAGUUCGAAUUCGAGUUUCGGAUUUUUGGUCGGAUUCGGGUUUGGACAUGGAUUUUUAAAAUCUGUCGGAUUCGGGUUCGGAUUUUGGGUUUGCACUACAACAGAAUUAGGUUAUAGGGACACAUGUUUGGGACACUUUUGAGUAAGUGUCUCAUUUAUGCUAAAACUUAAAAACACAUCUACUAAUGCCUAAAUAUAAAGCCCAAUCCAACCAAAAAUAAAAGAUUACUCUACUCAACCUACCACACCCAGUCUAUUUGGCCCGAUUACAAACAGCAAAGAAAAAAAAAAAAAAAUCAAUUACCAUCUUUUCUUCUCUCUUCACUCAAUCCACUGAAAUUCUAGACGAAGAGCCUUUACUGUCGUCCCCCUCCGCCACCGCAGCCAACGAGAUAUAGUUUCGGCGGUUGCUAAAUGAUUAAAUAAGUGUUGGUAAAUUAGCAGCACUCUUUUAGGUUAUAGCGACACUCUUUAACUGUCACUAUAUACCUAACGACCCCACAUAUAGCAACACUUUUUAAAAGUGUCGGUAAUUUUAGCUAGCAGCACUUUUUUGACAUGUACCUAUAUUUAAAAGUGUCACUAUAGACCGUUUUUGUUGUAGUGUUGGAGUCGGGUUCGGAAUUUUGAAAAUCCGCCCUAAAUCCGAUUGGUUGACAUCCCUAUUUGUGAGUGGUGCUAGUGUGAAAAAAGAGAACAAUGUGAAAAACUGACUACAAAACCCAAAAGUUUUUAAAUUUAUAUUAUUUAUUUAUGCAUGUAUUUGAAUUAAUUUAUAUAUAUAGUAGGUCUUGUGUGCUAUUAGGAGCGCAAAGGCCUCUGUGCUCUUAAGCCGUUUUCGAUGAUGUAAUUUCUGAAUCGACGAUCGGCUCCAUUAGGCUUGAUCUAGCAUAUUUGAAAUAAGUCGAAAAUAAAUUUUGCAGUUUUUCGAUAUCAUUUAUCUAGUAAUCGAAAAAACUUAAAAUCAAUGGCUGAAAAUAAAAACCUUACAAAAAGUUAUGAUAUAGCACUAAAAUUUUAGAUCAGAGAUAUUGAUCCUGUUGUAGAUAGUAUAAAGAAUUUUGUAUCAAAAUUUCAUCUGAUUUAAAUACUUUUACACCAUUAAACUUGAAAAUAGCAUGCAGACAUCAACCAUUAAAAAUUAUUAAUUUUAAACCUUUUAAAUCACUAGAUAAAUGAUAUCGAAAAAUCGCAAAAAAUAUUUUCUAUAAACUUCAAAUAUGCUAGAUCAAGUCUAAUAGAGCCGAUCGUUGAUUCGAAAAUUCUAUCAUCGAAAACAGAUAUAUAUAUAUAUAUAUAUAUAUAUAUAUAUAUAAUUAGGCUGGAAUACUAUUAAUAGUAAAACGCUCUUUUUACUAUCAAGUUUUUAAUCCUUGGAUGAAAAAUUGUAGGGUCAGGAUGAUAUUAGUCGGUUAGAGUUGAGUGGUCCCCCUAGGGUUGAGUGGUCCCCACUGGGUUAUAGUAUUUAAUCAAUGGUUAAAAUAAUGAAAGAGUUGAUCCAAAUGGCCUAAAAAAUUGGGUAGCAACAAUGAGAUUUUGCUACUAAUAGUAGCCCAGUCCAACUCUCUCUCUCUUCUCUUCUCUCUCUCUCUCUCUCUCUCUCUCUCCUCUCUCUCUCUCUUCUCUCUCUCUCUCUCUCUAUUAUAAUAUAUAUAUUAUAUAUAUAUAUAUAUAUAUAUAAUGAUCUCCUAUGCUUUUAAAGUACCAAGUUAUUUGUGCUUGUAGAUUUAGCCUAUAGAUUAAGAGAUAUGCAGUUAGGAUGCUUGUGGGCCCCCUGGGUUGAGUGGUGUGGUUUGUGAAUAGUAUAAUCUAAUGGCUGAAAAUGAUCCGAGGAGUAGAUCUAACGGUAAAAAACUUACCAGCACUAAGUGCUUUGGUGCUUUUACAAGCACCACAGCUGGGACUCUAUAAUAAUAUAUUAUAUAUAUAUAGCAGUGCCUGCUGUUGCUCAGGAGCACGGAGGCCUGCUGUGGUCCUGAGCCUUCGAUGAUGGAUUUUCGAAUCGACGAUCAGCUCGUUAGACUGAUCUAGCGUAUUUGAAGUUUCUAGAAAAUAAUUUUUACGAUUUUUCGAUAUCAUUUUAUCUAGCAAUCAAAAGGAUUAAAAUCAUAAUAUUUUUAAUUGUUGAAAUAAAAUUCUAUUAAAAGUUGGUGAUAUAGCACUAAAUUUUUCAAUCAAAAUAUUUGAUCUUGUUGUAGGAUAGUAUAAAGAAUUUUGUAUCAAAAUUUCAUCUAAUUUGAAUACUUCUACACGUUAAACUUGAAAACGGCAGAUAUCAACCAUUAAAAAUUAUGGAUUUUGAAUCUUUCGAUCACUAGGUAUAUGAUAUCAAAAAUAGCAAAAAUUAUUUUCUAGAAACUUCCAAUAUCCUAGAUCAAGUCUAACGGGCCGAUCGUCGAUUCGAAAAUUCUAUCAUCGAAAACGACUCAGGACCAUAGCAGGCCUCGUGCUCCUAAGAGCACAGCAGCCCUGCAUAUAUAUAUAUAUAUAUAUAUAUAUAUAUAUAUAUAUAUAUAUAUAUAUAUAUUAUAAUAUAUACUAUAUAUAUAUAUAUAGUCCAGUUGGGAUACUAUCAAUAGUAUCAAGCGCUUGGUGCUACCGAGUUUUCCGCCAUUAGAUUUAACACUUUGACUAUUUUCACCCGUUAGAUUAUACCAUUCAACCAAUAACUCACUAAAUCCUAGGGGGCCCAUAUCAUCCUAACCGUACAUUUUAAAUUGACGACCGGAAGUUGUACUGGUACUACCUGCAAGCUGCAUUGUUAGAAGGGUUGUUGCACCAUUUCUCUUUGCAUUGCUCUUUCGUGUUGCACUAUUAUUUCUAUUGCCGGCCGUGUAGUUUUUGUCAUGUAGCUUUAGUAUAUUUAAUUUGUAAAAGCCGAACAGCAAACACCGCAGUCGACGAAUAGUGGGGCCGAUUUGGUUCGCAUUCCAAUGAGUAGGAGGUUGCUUAACAUUGCUCGGGGCACAUUUAAUGCCCGCCUAAGGGCCAUACAUUGUGGUAUACGUAUCUAAGAGAAUACAUGAGAGGCGGAUGGAGAUGUAAAAUUCGGCCCGAGUCUGUAAAAUCGAAAAACGUGGCCCACUUUUGCAAAAUCUUAAAACUAGUGAAUUUUUUUUAUGCAAAUUGGCCUAUUUUUAUUUGUAUUUUAAACAUUUUAGAUUUAAUAUAAUAUAUUUUAAAAUAUGAUAAAGAGAUUUGAUUGUUUUGGAUUUGGAUUUUUCAAAUUUGAAUUUUUUGUCGGGUUUGAUUUUCUUAUAUGAAUUUUUAAAAUUUAUUAGAUUUGAAUUUGUUGGAAACGUGAUUUUCUCUUAUAUCAAUUGUUGAAAUCGGUAUUUGCGCUGAUAUCGAUUAUGUAACCCAAUGUCUAAAAUAAAAUAAAAUAAUAUGGAGAAGAGAUAUUGGGAAGAAAAAGAAAACUAAACUAAUACUUUAUUAAUAAAUAUAUUUAAUUACACCAGCAAUACCUAUGUAGCCAUAUCUAUUGUGACUUAUUCGUUUCAUUAAUUCAUGCCUAACUAUAUGUAGCUAUCAAGUCAUAAAAGAUGAUAAAUUCAACUUUUUACUUUAGAUAACUACAAAUCCUACUCUAAUUACAUCAAUAUAUAAUUUAGAUAUAUUCUAUCUCUAACUAAAUUUUAAAUUAAGUUUGGAUUAUUAUUCCAACAUCCUCACUUAGUCCAAACUUCAUCUUCGAGCCGCAAAUCCCAUUAAAUGCGCACUUUGAUUUUGCAAUUCCGGAUGCGCACCAAGAAAAUCGCGUUUCUAAUAAUUAAUAUGAGACUUCCUACAGAAUUCGAAUCUGAAUUUUGAAUUUGAUUGUCGAAUUCGAAUGUGAGUUCUGAGCCCAGAAUCUGACCGUUGACAUCCCUGCAGGAGAUGCCAAACUCGGGUCUGGAACAAUUACUCGGCAAUUAAUGGCCCCCUCCUUCCACCUAAUUACCAGACACAUCACAAAACCAUUUUAAUUUCCCCCUUAAAAACUAAAAAUAAAAAUAAAAUAAUUUCUUAAAAAAAAGGAAACCAUUGUCCUUUUGUCUUUCUCCUCUAUANAUCACAAAACCAUUUUAAUUUCCCCCUUAAAAACUAAAAAUAAAAAUAAAAUAAUUUCUUAAAAAAAAGGAAACCAUUGUCCUUUUGUCUUUCUCCUCUAUAAAUUAUUUCUCUUGUGAUCUCUCUCUCCCUGCUGUGGAAUCCCCCAAAAGGGUCCUUCCAAACUGAUCAGAUAUUAUUUAAUUUAUUAUCUUUUGGACCUCGUCCACCACAUUAAUUGAAUAUAUAUUAAUCUAUAAUUUAUGUGAAAUAAUGUACUAUUAAUCUAAUAAUUUAAGUUAGGAGAAAAUAGUUAGGUUCUGGCCGUGCACUAUAUUAAAUGGAAAAAGAUUACAUUUCGCAACUAAAAACAUAUAUAGUUUCAUUGAGUUCGACCUUAAUUAGGAUCAACAGUAUGCUCUUUUGUUAUGUGAAAUCACCAAUUUCUGCAGCAUUCAAGCUAUUAGCGAACCAUGUUUUAAUGGUAUAUGUUUAAUAUUGAAAAAUAAAUUAAGAGAUACAUUUGAUACUGGAGUUUAAAAAUAAGGUAAUUAAGAGUGUAUGAAACCUAUCCGAGAACUACGGAUCAUUUGAAUUUGGUUAUUCAAUUUUUUAAACUCUUGAUUUUUAACGGCACUUUAAUUUCAAAAAUUUAAAUACAUCGUUUAUCUUUACAUAUUCAGUAUAUUAUGCAAUUUGCACAAUUAUAAUUAACUAUACUAAAGUAAGUAAUUAGUUUAAAUUUUAGAGUAAAAGUGAUUUGGCUGAUUCAAAAUCAAAUAAUUAAAUUGAAAGAUUAGAUAAUAAAAUCAAAUUUUUUUUGAAAGGUCGUACGGCCAAAUCCAAAUGAUAUAUAAUUCAGAUAAGUUCCAUAUAUAUAUUUUUACCCAAAAAUGAAGAUAAAAUGGAAGACAUACAUAAUUAAUUAUAAGUAAUGUGUGGUCCAUGACUAAUUACAUGGGAGACAAGAAGUCCAUGAAAUCUCUAAAGUCCAAUUACUCGAGCCAAAAUCCUAGUCCAUGCAUGCACUCUCCAUGCAAUUAAUUUCUGCAAAUGUCCCUCCCUUGUCCUACUCUUCUCUCCUUGCACCUCAUGAAGUCCCCAAUAACCACCAUGCCUUUCAUACUUCUCUCUCUCUCUCUCUCUCUCUCUCUCUCUCUCUCUCUCUCUCUCUCUCUCUCAAGGAAGAUCUUUCUCUCACAUCAUUUUCCUUUUCCUUCUCACUCUCUAUCAUCAUCCCCUCCCAAUCUCCUUCACAAAUGGGUAUUCUCCUAAAAGGCACAACUCCAGUGUUCCUCCUCCUCCUCCUCCUCACCAUCUUGAACUCAUCUUGCUGUGGUGCAAGAACCAUGGGCACCCUCAACGCGAGGCCGGCCGCUGCGAAGAACAGCUCGGGGGCCUACCUCGGGUUGCUACCGAGGGCGAUCCCGAUCCCUCCUUCGGGCCCGUCGAAGCGACACGACUCCGUUGGGGCGCAGAGCCAUAGAUCACCUUAGAGGAAGGUGGCGUGCAUGCCUGCAGCUAGCCGGCUGCUGCAAGGGAAGUCAUUCGAUCAUUGACUUUGGCGCUUCGUGCUGGAAGGCGCACUAACAAACUAAGUGCACCGCACGCAAAGGUUUAAUAUGAGUCUUGUAUCUCACUUUCUGUAAGAUCUAUACCUAAAUACAUAGUUGGCAAAACUUAGUUACUUUACAUUUAUAUAUAAUACUGAAAUGGCAAUGUGAGAAAUAUGAAUCAAAGCCUUCACGUUACAAUUUGUUAGUGCACCUUAGCUGAUUCUCGUUUUAAUCAUAAUAUAUUCUACAAUUAGGGUUUUUUUUUUAUUUUAUUUCGAUACAAAUAUGCAAAGCUUAGCUGAAUUAUGACUAUUUUGAAUUGACAGUGCAACCAUCCCCAAUUUUGGAUUUUACUAUUCAAUAUUCAAUUUGUUUAAUUUGAGUUAGUAACGAUAUUUUAGUAUACUUCACGCAGUUUUCAUAACUAUAAAUUCAUUAAAUUAGGCAAGUAAUUUAUAUUUUGAAGUCAAAAUGAUGUUGAUUGACUCGAAUCAAAAAAAUUAAAAUAUUAAAUAGUAAAUUAAAAUUUUAAAAAAUUUAGUAGUCAAUUCAAAAUGAUCCAUUGANAUCAAAAAUAUUGAUCUUGUUGUAGAUAGUAUAAAGAAUUUUGUAUCAAAAUUUCAUCUAAUUUGAAUACUUCUACACCGUUAAACUUGAAAACGGCAGAUAUCAACCAUUAAAAAUUAUGGAUUUUGAAUCCUUUCGAUCACUAGGUAUAUGAUAUCAAAAAAUAGCAAAAAUUAUUUUCUAGAAACUUCCAAUAUCCUAGAUCAAGUCUAACGGAGCCGAUCGUCGAUUCGAAAAUUCUAUCAUCGAAAACGACUCAGGACCAUAGCAGGCCUCCG